GAUGAACGCUGGCGGCGUGCUUAACACAUGCAAGUCGAACGGAAAGGCUCCUGCUUGCCGGGGUACUCGAGUGGCGAACGGGUGAGUAACACGUGGGUGAUCUGCCCUGCACUUCGGGAUAAGCCUGGGAAACUGGGUCUAAUACCGGAUAGGACGAUGGUUUGGAUGCCAUUGUGGAAAGUUUUUCGGUGUGGGAUGAGCUCGCGGCCUAUCAGCUUGUUGGUGGGGUAAUGGCCUACCAAGGCGUCGACGGGUAGCCGGCCUGAGAGGGUGUACGGCCACAUUGGGACUGAGAUACGGACCAGACUCCUACGGGAGGCAGCAGUGGGGAAUAUUGCACAAUGGGCGCAAGCCUGAUGCAGCGACGCCGCGUGGGGGAUGACGGCCUUCGGGUUGUAAACUCCUUUCGCUAGAGACGAAGCGCAAGUGACGGUACCUGGAGAAGAAGCACCGGCUAACUACGUG
This 465-nucleotide ribosomal RNA is filed under the name uncultured bacterium. Its description in RNAcentral is "partial 16S ribosomal RNA". It matches the Rfam family "Bacterial small subunit ribosomal RNA", at positions 28 to 507 of the family's 1533-position model. The record is from RNAcentral.